AAAAAAAUGAUGAAUUGUAUCACUUAAUUUGUGUCACAAAAUUAAAUGAUACUAUUUUGAAUCAUUUAUUUAUAAAUGAAACAGAAAUAAAUAAUUUAGCAUUACUUAUAAUAAAUUGAUGUUAAUAUUAACUAAUUUAGCAUCAGUUCAAUAAAUCGAUAUAAUUUGUUCUAAUUUGUAUCACUUUAACGAAACUGAUAUUACUAUAUAAAGUUAUAUCAAUUAAACAAAUGAUGUAUUUAUUUGUUUGACUAAUAUCAUUUAUUUAAAUAAUACAAAAUUUUCAUUAAUAGAAAAUGAUGCAAAUCAAAAAUGUUAAUACCACUAAAAUAAUUAGAUGGAUUAAUCUUAAUUAUAAAACGAAGGUAACUGUUUUUUUUUUCUGCACUUUUACUGCUUUUCUUUACUUGUCGAAAUGUCUCUAACGUUAAGUCUUUUGAAUACUAGAGCUACCUUUUUCUUAUUAUCUGUUUUGUGCUCAAUAUGCUGUUUUGUGUUUCUAGUUUUAUCCUAUUUUUUUUUCAAAGAACCGAUGUCCGCUGAUUAAUCUAUCCCGGAUCAUAAUUUGAACAUGUAAACUGAUGAGCGUGAAGGAACUUGAAACGCACUUGAACCACUGAUCAUUUUGUAUUGCACUUUGAUUUAUUUCCAGUUACAUAAUAUAUAGAUAUAAUCACGAUUAACAACUUACUAGUUAAAAUAGUUUCAGGAAAUAAAAAAAACUACUUCCUAGUUCGUUAUCUAAAAAAUAUAAAUUUAAACCAUAAUAUUUUCCCCCACUAACUAUCAACUAGCAGUUAAGAUUGUGAUCACGAAAUGAUUUUUUUCCUGCUGAAAAUCCAAAAUAUCUCCAAGAAAUUAUAUAUUUUGCACUAUCCCACUAACCUCAUUUCUUCCUUGCAACAAUUUAAUAUCUUCUUUUAAUUUGCUCUUUCUUCUUUCUUUCGAUUAGUUCUGGUACUCUCUUCUUCUCUCUUGGGAUUUCAAUAGGAUUAAUGAUGACAAUCUUCGCUACAGUCACCUUCCACCGUAACAACCGCCACCAUAAUCCUUCAUCCCCGUCCCCUUCCACUGCCGUCGUAGCCGUUUCUUUUAAUUUGCGAAUCUGUUUUUUGAAAUGGAUGCUAAACCCUUGAGAGUUAAUGCUGGUCCUCCUCCAACAAGGAAGAAAGAUCUUUGGAGAGUAGAAGCAUUCCCACAUCCCCUCCUAGAAUGUUUUUUAUCUACUAACUAAUGAAGCUAAUGUAAAACGUUAUGUUCAUAUAGUUCUCUCUGCUUAAAUUCUUUGUUUGGUUCUCUUUUUGAUGUUCAGAGAAGGAUACAAUUUAAGUUUAAAUAAUAAAUAAGUAAUUUUUUAAUAUA
Molecule: long non-coding RNA, 1362 nt
Organism: Brassica rapa (field mustard)
Lineage: Eukaryota; Viridiplantae; Streptophyta; Magnoliopsida; Brassicales; Brassicaceae
Source: RefSeq, a predicted model, not a curated record